GUGGUGGUCCAUAUGGUUGUGGCACUGAGCAGUGUGCAACAGCCGGCACGGCUCCACGCAGAGCGAGGCUGGUUCCUGCCGACAGGGCCUGUAAAGGUGUUGGUUCCCCUGUGCGAUGGUUCCACACAUU
Molecule: non-coding RNA, 130 nt
Organism: Nothobranchius furzeri (turquoise killifish)
Lineage: Eukaryota; Metazoa; Chordata; Actinopteri; Cyprinodontiformes; Nothobranchiidae
Source: Ensembl